This 274-nucleotide ribosomal RNA is filed under the name uncultured bacterium. RNAcentral's name for it is "partial 16S ribosomal RNA". It matches the Rfam family "Bacterial small subunit ribosomal RNA", at positions 523 to 796 of the family's 1533-position model. The record is from RNAcentral.
AUACGGAGGGUCCGAGCGUUAAUUGGAAUUACUGGGCGUAAAGCGCGCGUAGGCGGCUAUAUAAGUCAGAUGUGAAAUCCCUGGGCUCAACCUAGGAACUGCAUUUGAAACUGUAUGGCUAGAGUAUGGUAGAGGUGAGUGGAAUUUCAGGUGUAGCGGUGAAAUGCGUAGAGAUCUGAAGGAACAUCAGUGGCGAAGGCGACUCACUGGGCCAUUACUGACGCUGAGGUGCGAAAGCGUGGGUAGCAAACAGGAUUAGAUACCCUAGUAGUCC